Molecule: ribosomal RNA, 395 nt
Filed under: Chlamydomonas sp. SP-contam1
Lineage: Eukaryota; Viridiplantae; Chlorophyta; Chlorophyceae; Chlamydomonadales; Chlamydomonadaceae
Description: SSU rRNA
Rfam family: Eukaryotic small subunit ribosomal RNA
Source: RNAcentral
GUCAGAGGUGAAAUUCUUGGAUUUCGGAAAGACCUACCACUGCGAAAGCAUUUGCCAAGGAUGUUUUCAUUGAUCAAGAACGAAAGUAGGGGGCUCGAAGACGAUUAGAUACCGUCGUAGUCUCUACCAUAAACGAUGCCGACCAGGGAUUGGCAGGUGUUCCUUUGAUGACCCUGCCAGCACCUUGAGAGAAAUCAGAGUCUUUGGGUUCCGGGGGGAGUAUGGUCGCAAGGCUGAAACUUAAAGGAAUUGACGGAAGGGCACCACCAGGCGUGGAGCCUGCGGCUUAAUUUGACUCAACACGGGAAAUCUUACCAGGUCCAGACGCGGGAAUGAUGAACAGAUUGAGAGCUCUUUUUUGAUUCUGUGGGUGGUGGUGCAUGCCGUUCUUAGUU